RNAcentral lists this ribosomal RNA (658 nucleotides) under uncultured bacterium. RNAcentral describes it as "bacterial SSU rRNA". It matches the Rfam family "Bacterial small subunit ribosomal RNA", at positions 187 to 848 of the family's 1533-position model. The record is from RNAcentral.
GCAUGUUCACAUGAUUAAAGGUAUUCCGGUAGACGAUGGGGAUGCGUUCCAUUAGAUAGUAGGCGGGGUAACGGCCCACCUAGUCUUCGAUGGAUAGGGGUUCUGAGAGGAAGGUCCCCCACAUUGGAACUGAGACACGGUCCAAACUCCUACGGGAGGCAGCAGUGAGGAAUAUUGGUCAAUGGGCGAGAGCCUGAACCAGCCAAGUAGCGUGAAGGACGACUGCCCUAUGGGUUGUAAACUUCUUUUAUAAAGGAAUAAAGUCGGGUAUGCAUACCCGUUUGCAUGUACUUUAUGAAUAAGGAUCGGCUAACUCCGUGCCAGCAGCCGCGGUAAUACGGAGGAUCCGAGCGUUAUCCGGAUUUAUUGGGUUUAAAGGGAGCGUAGAUGGAUGUUUAAGUCAGUUGUGAAAGUUUGCGGCUCAACCGUAAAAUUGCAGCUGAUACUGGAUGUCUUGAGUGCAGUUGAGGCAGGCGGAAUUCGUGGUGUAGCGGUGAAAUGCUUAGAUAUCACGAAGAACUCCGAUUGCGAAGGCAGCCUGCUAAGCUGCAACUGACAUUGAGGCUCGAAAGUGUGGGUAUCAAACAGGAUUAGAUACCCUGGUAGUCCACACGGUAAACGAUGAAUACUCGCUGUUUGCGAUAUACAGCAAGCGGCC